UAGUGUAUGAACAAGUAGUUGGUUCAUGUAAAACUAGAUUAGUAAUGUAGUUUGAACUUUACAAAUGGAAAAUAAUUAUAUGGAUGAAACAGUGGACAAUUAAUAUAGGCUUAAAUUUUUCAUUUAAAUAAGAUAUUAACAGUUUACGUGUAUCUUGUAAUAACUUCAACUAAGCAAUAACAUGUAGACUUACUAAUACAUGCUUAAACAUAUUUAGAAAUGCAAAAAGAAAAAUGUACCUGGGCUAUUGUUCACAAUUGUUGUUGAUGGAAUUGAAGUGCUAUACAAAUGUGGAUGCUUACCUUCCUCAAUGAUUUCAUCAAGUUCUUCUUUUUUAUUUUGGUCUACAGAUGGAACAAUAUUCCCAAUUAUUUGAUCUAGCAUGUCACAUUCUUGUAUCUUGAGCAUUUUCAAUUGAGUUAAGCCUCUUACAAUGUUGGCCGAGAAUAUAUGUUUUAAUUUUCUACAACUAUUUACCUUUACUUCCUGAAGAUUUUGGAAGAUUUGUACAGGAUGCUCAGUGGUGAAUUCACCUUGACUUUUUUCUGUUUUGUCAUCAUCAGCUAAUAUAUGCUUCAGUUCAUCACAUCUUGAUAUUUUUAAUAUUUUCAAUUGUACCAAACUUCGAGCAACGAUAUACGUGAAGAUAGAUGUCAACUGUGGACAAUCACUUAAAUUCAGCUUCUCUAAGUUCUCAAAAGGCCCAUUGAUAGGUUGAAAACAAUACCAUAAAGCUCUUAAAUUUUUCAUUUUUUCCACUCUGAGAUUAUACAACUUGGAGAAGUGAGUUACCACCGUACUCGAUUGGUUACUAGUGUCAAUCAAACACUCUAUCUCUUCAGAAUUACGUAUCUCAAACUCACUCAACUCAUCCAAACCUCCUCCUUCAAUUUGAAAUAUAUCAGGGAUGAUAUUUUUUGCGCCGACCUGAAUAUUUGCUACAAAUAGAUUUGUUGCUUUUUUUGCCAAACCCUUAAUUACCUCAUUUGAUAUCUGAAAAUGGUUAAGCAAUAGAGUUCUGGGACGAUAUUGAAAAUAACUAUAAUCAUAAAAGUUAUCGGAUCCUAAUACAAUUGAAUACCUUUGCAGUGUUAGGGGGACACCAAAUGUGUUAAAGAAUUCAAUAUAGUCUUCACUGUUAGCAGUCCAUUUUCCUUCGAUAUCGACAAUGUACAACUCUUCCAGUAGUGGGGUUCUUUUGAUCACUUCAAAAUUUUUCCCUUUCAUUUCACAUUUGUACACGUGUAACAAUUUUAAGGUUGUUACUUGUGUAAUUGCAACAUCAAAUGAAGACAAUGAACAACCAUUCAACGAAAGACUUUGAAGUUUCUUCAUAUUGCUUACAAAUGAGAAGUCACUCAAUUCAUAAUAAGAAAUAUCUAGAUAACGAAGAUUUGUUAAUGUUUUUAAAGACAUUGUUGACAAUGGUGUUAUUCCAUCUUUAUCAUUGACUAGAAUCAAAACUUUGAGCAUUCUCAUUCUUUUGAAAAUUCCAUUCAAUUCUUCCAAUUUUGUCUUUAAGAGUAAAAACUCAAGAUUGGAACAAUCCAAAUCAUUUGGAAAUUUCACACACCAUAGAUAUCUUACUGAAUUUUGUUCAAUAGUCACAUCUUUUUCCUCUUCGCACUUGAUUAUCUUAUUCUCAUUCUUUGCUAUCAAGUGGGCCACAUCGCGAACUAUGUCAUGCAUUUUGACAUAUUCAUCCUUUUCAUCCAACAAUAAACAAGAACUAACGAGCUUAAUUUUGGCUGCAACCACUUCACUCCUUGCCUCCUCAUAAGAGUGUGCUUCUCCAACUACACCUAAUCCUAUAGCAUAUCUUGUUAAAAUUUCCAAUGGAAUUUCAUAAUCUUCAGGGAACACAGAACACAAUAGGAAAAGUGAUUUAGCUUCUUUAUUAUCCAAAUUAUCAUAGCUCAGCUGCAAGCACUUGUAGGGAUCAAUCAAACCUCUUUCUAUAUUUAUUGGCUUAGAACUUCUCAACUUAUUCAAUGCAACACUCCAUAUCGUCUCCGCUUUUCCCUUCAAACUACUAGCUACAGCUGCAAUUGCAACAGGCAAUCCUUUACAUUCAUUGGAAAUUAAUCUUCCCAGAUUCUUUAAGGUAUCAGGGGUGUCUUCAAAUAUAAGUGCUUUAUUUUGGAAAAGAGUCCACGCUUCUUCAUCCGUUAAAAUUGGCAAAUAAAUCUUUCUUUGACAAUCCAUUGAAGUACAAACUUCUUCUGAUCUAGUGGUAAUGAGAAUCUUGCAGCCUUUAUGAUGUUCAGAGGAGGGAAUCCCAAUGCCACCAAAGUCAAGCUUCUCCCACACAUCAUCUAGAAUCACAAGAAUUUUUUUCUCUUGGUUUAAUCUCAAGCACAAUCGUUGGGCCCUCUCCAUUACUUCAGUUUCUGGAAAUGUAUACUGCAAUGAACUUGCAAUUUUUUCUUGGAUCCUUCGAACUUCCACUGUACUAGAAAUAGGCACAAAAAGAACUUUUUCAAAAAAAUGUUCUGCUUCUACUAACUUCAUAACCUCCAUUGCUAAGGUGGUUUUACCACAACCCCCCAUCCCAUACAAUCCAAUCAUGUCAACAUCAUUAUUUUUCACUGCUUCUAGUAGUUUCUCAUAUGCAGAUUGUCUACUCUCAAAAUUCAUGCAUUUUUCUGAGAGAAUAUCAAGGGUGCCUGAAGGAAGUGUAGCAAUGCGGUCAAAUGGCACAUAUUUUCUACCCUCUGCGAUGAACUUUUCAAGGUACACAUUUUUAUUUGCUAACUUUUUUCCUACACGGUAUUGCCAAAUCCAAUUUGGACAGUGCCCAAAGCAGCAAAUUCUUUUCGCUUUUGCCUCUUUCAACAACUGAUUCACAUUGUCUACGUCAUUGAUAGCAUCUUGCAGCCAUUUGUCAACAACUUCACUCGUCUUUCUUGUUUGUUUCUUGGCAUUUGUAACAAAUUUUUGAACACUAUCUCUCGUUACAAUCAAAUCGCCCUCUUCUUCUUCAAGCUUUUUUAGAAAAUUGUUAAAGCAACAAGGAUAACGUAAUUGAUUUAAUGCUCCACACACUAAAUCUCUUGAAACAGAAGAUGCAAAACCCAAGAGGCACUCCAUCAAUUUGUUCCACCAAAUGCAAUUUUCUUUUACCUAAACAAGAGAAGUUGAAUACUCUGUAGUGAGUUUUAUAACUAUAUUUACAUUACAAGAAAAUUCAUGAAAUAGUAAUCAAAUUUAAAGACAAAAAAUAAUUAGUCACUAUAUUAACUAAAUUAUAUACUAUUUUAGAGACUAAUUUUCUUUUUGUAUAUAAAGUGCUUUUUAUUAUUAAUAAAAAAUUAUAAAAUAGUUUUUAAAUUGAUAUCUAAAUUAGCUACCAAGAUUUUAGCUACUAAUAUUUUAGAGUUUUAAUUGGUCUGAAUUAGUCUUUUAGAAACUAAUUUAAAAUCUAAAAUAUUAAUAGUUAAAACUUUAGUAGAUAAUGAUUAGAUACAAAUUUAAAAACUACUUUAUAAAUUUUUAUUAAUAACAAAAACUACUUUAGAUACUAAUAAUUUUCUUAGUUUCUAAAAUAAUCUCUAAUAUAAUAUAAUAGUAACUAAUUAUUUUUGUCUUUAAAAUUAGUUGCAAUUUGAUGAUUUUAUAGUGUUAAAUGUAUUAGAUAACAAAAGAUUUUAAGAUAUUUGUUGCAUUAUCCAGUACAUCACUUUUAUAGUAAAGGUUAUGAUGUUAUGUUUAGUAAUUAGAUUUCAUGUUUUAUACCUUAUAUAAUCAAUUAUUGUACACACAAUAGAAAUAAAAAUAAAUCUAAUAACUUUAAUGAUUACUUUUAAAGGUUUAUGUGUUAAUAACAAAUGUUGGUAAUUCCUAAAAAAUUGUAAAUAUUCAAUAAAAUAAAAUAAAAUAAAAGUAUCUAAAAGGUUACUUGAAAUUUAAUUAAGUCUAAAAUAAAUGAAUUUUUUUAGCUAAUUGCAUAUACUCAAUUACAUUGAGAUGAGUUAGACUUGGUACUUUAUGAGCUCUUCUCAAUUUAAACCAAGACUCGAGUGCUUUUAAAAUUCUACACAAACUUCUAAUGUUUUGAAAACGUUACAUUAUCACUGUUUGUUACAUCACACAUGCAAUUUCAUUAAAAACAGUUAAUAUAGGUAUAAUUCAGUUUUAUUAAAAACAGUUAAUAUAAGUAUAAUUUUUUAGAAUAUUAAGGAGUAUGAUUGUAUUUUACUCACUCAUUCAUUAUUCAUGAUUGGAUGUAUAAAUUUAAUAAACUAAAUAAUCUAAAAAAACAAUCUCUUCUCUUUUUAUUUUCUCAAUUAACACUGGUUUAUAUUUAUUCCAGGUCUCAUCUUUUUUUUAUUUCAUUAAUUUAUUCACCUCUAUUUUUUUCUCAAUACAAGUUUUUAGGCCGCAACAUUCCUUCUUUUCAGUGAAAAAAAGAAAUAACUUUCUAAAAAUAAUUUAAAAUAUAUAUGAUAAUUAGUUUUAAGCAAAAGUAUCAUAUAAUUAUUUUUAGUAGAGAAACUAUGUACUUAUUAUUUACUAAAUAAAAUUUUAUUUAAUUUAUUAAAAGAUAAAAUUAUCUAAUUAAAAAAUGACAAAAAAAGAGUUAUAAAAAAUAUGUUCUGAUACAAAUUAUUAAAAAUAGUAAAUUAAUCAACCCUAAUAAUAAAAAGUGAUAAUAAAUAAAUAAUGACAAAAAAAUAAUAUUAAUGAUAUAAUAAAGAAUAAUAACAAUAAAAAAUUUAAUUAUUUUAUUUAAAUUAAAUAAUCUCAAAAAAAUAUAAUUACUUUUCUUUUUAUUUUCUCAAUUAACACUGUUUUAUAUUUAUUCUGAGUCUCAUCUUUUUUUUAUUUCAUUAAUUUAUUCUCCCUCUAUUUUGUUUCUCAAGUCAACUUUUUAGGCUGCAACAUUCCUUCUUAUCAACAAGAGCAAAAAAAUAAAAUCAAAUUCUUAAAUCUAAUUUAUAAUACAAAUUAUAAAUUUUCUCUGUCUAUUUUGUUUCUCCAAAUCAACCUCUCUAGUUGUUUAUAUUCCCAGUUUUCACAGAUCUCGUAGUAUUUCUAAUCCAAAUUAUUUUCUCAGAUCUCACAUAAAAAAACAGAGUAUAUUGUGUUUUGAUCCAUAAGAAGAGAUUAAUUUGGAAGUGGAAAAAGAGGAAAGGUUUUUACGUUACCUGCUUUAACUAAUAUGUAGAGAGAGAUGAGAGAAAGAAGUGGUGAUCCAUGACUUCAGUACAAGAGACACUCAAACGUUAAGUUACUGCACAGACAUAAACACAAACACGUGAUCUGCAGCUUCAAUUGAAAACGAAUCUAUUAGAAUUUGAAAACAAAGCAAAAGUUAACUUCACACUGAUUCAUACCUCCACAGAGAUGAAAGUACUCCAUUGCUUGAAUCGAGGAGAGAGUACAAGAGAAGCUGAAACGUUAAGUUACUGCACAAGCAUAAACACAAACACAUGAUCUACAACUUCAAUUGAAAAGGAAUCGAUUAGAAUUAAGUUAACUUCACAGUGAUUCAUACCUCCACAGAGAUUAAGAAUGAACGCACAGUUAUUCCAGCACAAGAGACGGUGAAAGGUUAAGUUACUGCAGAAACAUAAACACAAACACAUGAUCUACAGCUUUAAUUGAAAAGGAAUCGAUUAGAAAUUGAAAUGAAAGCAGAAGUUAAGUUCAGAGUGAUUGAAACCUGCAGAGAGAUGAAAGGAAUCCAUUGGUUGAAUGAAGAACAGAGUAAAAGAGAGAAUCCUGCGAGAGAUGUGAAGAGUGACUAUUAGUCUUCUUCCCACUGAUAUCAUUGGUCUUCUCUUUUCUAUCGAUUAAUAUUAUUAUUAUUAUCAUGAUUCAGGAAGAUGCAUCCACUUGCACUUUUAUAUCUUUUAAAACUCUUUCUGCUCUUUUUAUAUAAUAAUUAUUCUUAUCUUUUAUUAUUGCUCUCUGCAGUUUUUUGUUAAUCAGCAGCAGUGCAUUGCACACGGUAUUUACAAAACUUUAAACGGGGAAACAUCAUUCUCACAUAACAAUAAUUUAUUUUAUUUAUUAAACAAUACACAACCAACAGAAAAAAAACAAAACUUAUUUAACCUUCGAGUUGUACCAGCCUAAUUAAAGUUGAGAAUAUUAUUGUAAUUUUUUAAAUAAUUUUUACUUUUAUUUAGUAUGAAUGUUUCAACCCGAUUUAAAUUCAUCCUGAAAUUUAAUGUAAAAACUAGAAGUGGAAAAUGACCUUUUAAAAUUUUUAUAUUUUCUUAAAACAUAUUAUUUAAAACGUAUUUUAAAAAAGUAAACUAUUGCUUUCGAGGAAAAUUGAAUUUAGUAUUCAAUUUCAUAAAAGAAUAAAUAAAAAUAGAAAUGGAAAUGGAUGAUUCCUUUUAAAUUGACAGAUAGGAGUAAACUGAUUGAGAAAUUAGAACCAAAUGAAAUAUAUAGUAAAGCAUGCAAAAAAAGAAAAAUAAGGUAUUACAAAAUGACAAUGGACAGUCAUUCAAGGAAGGGCAACAAAAAUGGGUUUCUGUAAUUUUUAAGAAAAACAUGUGAUCAUUAUAUGUUACAUAAAAGAACAAAUAGUUUUUUAUUUUAUUUUUCAUAACAUUGUCUUUGUCUCACCCAGACUUCUUACACAACAAUAAAUAAGAUACCAAACAUACAAUAAUAUAACAAUCAACAUUUAGAAAGUAAAUUGAAACUAUUUGAUAUUGUGAAAAUAUUGAAGCAUACAACCAUCAAGAAACAAAAGACGGAACAAAACAGUGUAGUUGCAAGUCUUCCUUUUGAGUGAUGAAGAGUUUGAUCCUUAAUAACAGUGAACAAUGAAAAUUCUUAUGAGGGAUUUCUGGCAGUCAUGCGAUUGUACUCAUAUUGACUACAUAGAAUUGACCAUUUAUAAGUCACCUCAAACAACUUUUGUUCAAUUUUUCUUUGAUCUUCCACCAUUUGAGAAUUGUCUUUCCUCACAUUUUCAAGCUCCAUUUUGUACCCAAUAGUUUCCGCAAUGCAUUUAUUUUUUUCCUCCUCCAGAGAUGAUAAGGCAUCCUCACAAACUUUUAUUUCUUCCUUUAAAACAACUUCCUUCAGUUGAGCUUCAUCAUAAAAAUUCUUUGCCUCAGAAAUUUUGGAACCAAGAGAAAUGGUCACCUCAUUUCCACGAGCUUCAAGUUUUGCCAACUUCUCAAUGGUAGCAAAGCCUCGCUUAAAGGAGCAUACAAUGCUUGGGAACUCUUGCUGCAUAGUGCCUAUAAUAUCUUUGAGUCCAUCUGAUAGAGUUACAUCUUUGAAAGGAAGGUUGGACAGGAAAUUAAGAGCAGACAAAAGACGAAUGUUGUUAGUCUCAGAGCUAACUAUGUCCUUCAGAGACAUCUUUAGAUACUUUUCUAACUCAACAAGGGUAUUUCCAACUAAAUUAUCUUCACCCUCUUUCCCCACAACAAUUGGUGCAAAUAAACUCAUUAUAUCAUUGGCCCCAAAGUCUUGAAUAAUUUUAGGAUGACCUUCACUUUCUUUAGCCGUGUCUGUCUCAGUUUGAUUGCUCCAAAUUUCAGUCUUGGAGGAAUAAGAAGAAAAUAUAACAAAAAAGACGUUAGCAGUCACAACAAUUUUAAAGCAUUGAGUUCCUUAAACCAUUUUAUAUCAAAGCAUAUUUGUGAGAGUGAUGGUAACAAACUCAUUAAAUUUAAAUUCCAACUUGAAAUUCAAUACUUUUUGUUUCUUAAUUCCACUCCUACGGCAAAUGGUAAAUCAGAAUGGCAACAUCAUUUUUAUGCUGACCAAAUAUAUUGCAUAAAAUAAACUUACAUAUGUAUGCAUUUUUAUUUUGAAAAUGACAACAUGUGUGCCAAUAGAAUGCCUCAGUUUUAUUCUGUUUGCCAUUUACUUGAGUAAUUUCGGGGCUACUUACAAUUUCUCCUAGUGGCUUUUGUUGAUUCAUCAAACACAGUUCACUAAUUCGUUGUUUGUCCACCAAUGCCUAAACAAAGUAAUGAAUAAGUGUAAAAUACUAUUAUUUCAUCCAAUUCUCGAAAAAUAUUUUUAGACUCACAUUUGAGUGUGUUUCACGUAGAGGUAUAUUCGAGUAACUUGGACUUGGCCUUUCAACUGGUUGCGAGUUUGUUAAUGAUGUUGUUGUUCUUGGUAUUUUUGAAGUGGAAACUUUUGCAACAAAUUCCUUCUUUGGUUCUUCAUUUCUCGCAGUCACAAUGCGAUCAUUAGAAACAACAACUAUUUCACCUUCUUUGUCAACCAAGUUAGAACCUUCUUCGAAGUUAUUGUUAACAUUCUGGGUCUUCACACUUGGAGAAGUUCUUUUGCAGUUUUCAUUAGGCCCAUCACCAUGUUCAACAGCCUGAGAAUCUAGUACCAUCUCCACACUACUAGACCUGUGUAACAAACUUAAAUUUUUUGCUUUAUGCAUCCCAAAGAACAGAAAACUAAGAAACAUAUGGUAUCAAUCUUAUAAGAAUUGUAGAUACAACCACAAUGUAUAUAUAAAUAGAAACAGGAAAUCCACACAGCCACAACAUAGAGAUAUAACUUCCAAUUCACAAAAAAACUAAUACAUUUUAUCCGGGCAUGAACAAAGUCAUUUAUGACUCUUAAUUUCAUUCAUUCUUUACAUUACAUUGUCAAGAAGUUAAAUGAACAUACCUCUUAGGAUUCUCAUCCAUUUGUCUCUGUGCAAUUUCCUCUCUCAGCUUAGGAUCCCUCACCACAACACGUUGACGCAUUUCAUCUACCCAUGAACUCUCAAAUCCUAUCUCAAUAGCUUUUUCACAUAGUUUAUGGAAAUCUUUUUCUCUUUGAGGAAUAACAUUAUCGCCACUUCCCUUCUGCAGGAACAACAACAUAUCUGCCAAAAUUUUCAACCUCCAAGCUUGAAAGCGCUCACUGAACUUCUCGCAAGCAUUCCAAAGAUGAGGAUAUGUUGUUAUUGCCUCCACAAGAAGAGCAAUUUGUGCAUCAUCCAAAUCAACAAAAUGUUUAUAUGCUCCCAAUCUUGUAUGAAUAUCUGCAGAAGCUGUAAAAAGUUUGAGAGGGUGAUAUGAAAAUAUAGGAUGAAAACGAGAAAGUAAGAAAUAAAAAACCUGGAGAAAUGUCAAUGUUGUUGUUGUUAGAAACAAUAUGUAUUUCCUCUUGUUUAUCCAACAGAUUCAACCCUUCUUCUAACUGGAUUUCUUGGCUUGGCGUGAUUCCUGCCAUGCCUUCAUUCAUUUUAUCAUCUUGUUCAACAACCUUGGAAUGUUUUGCAAGUAUGUCCACACCACCAGACUGAACGUGAGUUGCAACACCACCUCCAUUGCUAAUGUCUUCAACACCAGUUAACAAAGGUUUUGUCUUAUCACCCUCUACUGCAGGCCCCUCUUCAAUGCUUUCAUUUCCUACGUCCCCAAUCUCCUGUGUAUCACAAAUUGAAAAAAUAUGAUUGAGAGAAUCUAAAGUUUGAAAGGACCACAAUCUUCUUCGAUACCACUCAAUAUUAUGCAAUUUGCUAAAGUAAGUGCUAUAAGUCAUUCACUUUCUCUAAUAUUUAGAAGAGCUUAUUGAAUACUAACCGGUGAGUGUGCUUCGUUUUGGUUAUGCUCUGAACCAGGUUCUUCCUCAAUAAAUUCCUUCAUUGAUUGUUCAUCAAUCUGAACAACGCCAAAAUAUACAAAUUCAAAAGCUCAACAAGUUAACAUUUUUAACUAAUAUAACCAAGUUAUAAAUGAAGAGGUUUUUCUUUUUUAAUUAAUUGAUUGAGUCAUGGCAAUAUUUACUUUGGGGCAUUUCCAUAACAAUAACAAAUGGAGACAAGAUGCAAAGAAGAAUGGCUCAUAUACUAUUCUCAAACUUUAGAACAUUAUUUUAGGAAGUUUUAAUUUACUUUUUUAGACUUCAUUGUAUCACUUAUCUUUUUAAGAUCUUUUCGUAAUUUUUAUUUUAAUAUAAAGAUCUUACAAAAUUCAAUUUUUCAUUAAUAUUUUAUUUGAUGGUUUGCAGAAAUAUAUAUUUAAAAUAUUGUUUUACUUUUCUGACUUGGCAUGUUAUUUAAGAUUCUAAGUCUUAUUUUUUUAUUCUACCAUGUGAGUUAAAAUUGAAAAAAUUCUUCUAAUAAUGAAACAAUUUGUUUUAUUAAACUUUCUUUCAAUUGCAUUACAUUCAUAGAUUGGUUGGUUCUGACCUGUGAUGAAAUGAACUCACGUAUGUCCCCCACAGAAACUUCAGUGUCUUCGAAAUCUGUAAAAAAAAUUCAUAUUAGGGAAUUCAUGUGACAAUGAAACACAUAACAAAAAGGAAAUACAACAUCAAGUUUCCAUGAUGGAUCAUUAUAUCACUACGAUCAAAAAUAAAAAAUGAUUUAGAAAGUUUUAUGAUAGGAUUUUUUUUAUCACCCAUCCAAAUAAAAUGGUGACUCUGUCUUAAGGAUCGUUUUCUUUAUAACUGUUCUUCAUAACUAAAAUUAAAAAACUUGCAGCAAAAAGUAAUUUAAUGUGUUUUAUUUUAAAAAAAGUAAAUUUUCAUAGUACACUAGUGCUAAAUAAGAUCAAUUAAAUUAUAUAGAUAACUAAAUCAUAUAUAAAUUGAGCUUAAGAUUAGUUCCAGAGUUUGACAACCUUCCAAUAACAAUUUGUAUUUGAAGAUUCUAUAUAGUAUUUACCUUCAUAAAGAAGAUUUUUAGCAAGCUUUGUAAGAGUAGUUGUUGGAGUCAAAGAGAGUUUUGGACAUUCGUAGACAACACAGUUCUUUAAAUUUGGCAAUUCGGUCUCUUGACAAAAUUUUGAAAGAUGCAUAAAUAUUAAGAGUUUCAGUCUUGGAAGCUCAACUUUACUCUUUCCUAUAUGAUCACCUUUUUCUUGUACACAUGCAACAAACUCUUCUAGUUCAGAAGCUCCAUUUAUGAUCAAAACAUGAAGAUUGGGAAGGUCAUUAGAUGCAGAUCCAGAUAUAAAUCUUUUCAGUCUGUCACAAUGUUCAACAUACAAUGCUUCUAGUUUUGGGAAGCAUGGCUGAGGAGAAACAAGAUUAGACAAUUUUUUAUCUUUCACAUCUUCUUCAAUGAUUUGUCUUAAUUCUUUGCAUUCUCUUAUAUUCAGAUGAUUCAACUCUGGUAAGCAUCUUAAAACAAACUUUGGAAAGACAACUUGCAAUUUUUCACAUCCAAUGAUUUCUAAUCUUUCAAGAUUUGGGAAGGUAAAAGAAUUCUUUGAAGUUUCUUGUUCACAUCCAAAAAUCUGCUUCAAUUCCAUGCAUUCUUUUAUAAUUAGGCUUUUCAACUUUUGUAAGCUUCUUAAAACAGAGGGAGGAAAGAUUACUUUCAAUUUUGCACAUCUCAUUAUUAUUAAUGUGGUAAGAUGUUGGAGAUUAACUGAAAUCAUGGAAGCCACCCAAAUAUAAGUCAUUUGAGGUAGAUUUUCCAAAAACAAAUCCUUUAACUUUAAACUCACUGGUUGCCCAAUCAUUCUAGGUCCAUUAAGACAAAAAAUAUCUUCUACUUCACAAUUCCUUAUGGAUAGAUAUUGCAAACUGAGGAAAUGGUUCUGAAUCGACUUUAGAUUCUGCAGGACAUUAAUAAGAAAUGUAAACAAAAAAAUCCAAAUAGAAAACAAAAAGGAACAAAUAACUAAUAAUUAUAAAAAUAAAGACAAGACUACCUUCCUACUUACGCUAAUAGGCUCUCUUGAAUUCGUAGGAACCAUCAAACAACUAACAGGAUCAUAAAAAGGAUAUGAGCAUCGGUAACACAUAAACUCCUUCAAAGAUGGGUAUGUCAUAGUGAGAGAGUUUGUAGCACAAAUGCUAACAAAAUUUGGUAGAUCAUAAAAAGAGAGUAUUUCCAAUGCUGAGAAAUGAAUAUGAAUCUCCUCACAAUCCUUAUUAGCUACGGGAUAUUGGCCAAAAAUAUAUUUCAAUUGGCCACAAUCACGCACUGAGAAAUUUCUUAAGCUUUGGAAGAUAGCAUUCAAAUUCUCUUUCUCAUAUUCAUCCUUAGUGUCUAUAAUGUGCUCAAGUCCAUGGCAUUCCUCAAUUCUUAAAGAUUCCAACAUCAAUGAUGAAGCAAUGGACCAUUUAAAAAUGUACUUUGCCUUAUCAAAGCCUUUCAGUUCAAUCUCUCUUAUAUUAUGCAUAGUAAGAAAGGUCAAACCCUGUGGUUGUUUUGAAAGAUAUUGAACACUUUCAACUUGGAGAAUACGAUCUGAGUUCGAUAUCUGCAAUAUAUACACCAAGUUACUUCUUAAACCAAACUAAAUAAUAUCUUAAUUAAGUAUAAUUAUUAAUGCAUUCCAUUUCUAACAUAUCAUUCGUGUAAAUUAAAAUUUUAAGAAAUACCACCAAUUUGCUUAGAUCCAUUUGUUUCUUUAUGAAAAUAAUUUCCUUUUUCUUUAGCCUAAUGAGUUAAAGUUGAAAAGAAAAUAAUUUUCCAUAAAUAAUCUACUUGAAAUAAUCUUACAGGAUAACUGUCUAGAAUGGUGCUUCCCAGGGUACGGUCAAGUCUAGAGUACUUCUAACGCAGGAAGCUCAAUAUGAGUAUUAGUUUGUUGUUGGUGACAAGAGACAGGGAAUAUGUAUUGCAAUAAGUCACAUCUAUGAAUAUGUAGCUCUUUCAAACUCUAGAAGAUUGAAAAAUCACUCUGAAAGUCAUGGUCAUCCUGGACAAUAUUUUUCUUUUGAUUGUGAUUGACCCUUUCAUGAGUUACUAUAUGCUUCAAACUAUGACAGUCUUUUAUGAACAAUACUUUCAAAGAAGUCAAGGUCUUAGCCAGUGAUGAUGGAAGAAUUGAGCCUAACUUCGGACAAUAGUAUAUUGUAAUGCUUGUAAGGCUUGAUAGAGUUCCUGAAAACCAAUUGUAAAUUUGAAAAAUAUCGUUCAACAUAUUAGAGUUUAUUAAAUAUAUUCUAUGAGUGCAAGUUACAUUUUUUAUUUUUAAAACAUUGGUUUCUAGGAACUAAAGCCACAAUCCUAAGCAUAAAAUGAUAUGUUAAUAAUGAUGAAAAGAAUCAUACAAAACAAUUUUCUUUAAAUAAUUCUAAAUUAUUCAAAAAAAAAUUAAAAUGAAAAUAUAAUUGUCUUUAAUUUUGAUUGAGACAAAUUUUGUUGGUAGAGUAUUAACAAGUAUUUGGUUUAAGUAAAACUAGAUUACAAUGUCUUGAGCUUGAACCUUAUGAAUGGAAAAUAGAGAUCCUGAUGAAACAAUGUACAAUUAAUAUGCUUAAAUUUUUCAUAUAUAGUAACAAAUUCACAAUUUUCAUGUAAUGAACUUGUAAAUAACUUCAACUAAGUAAUAAAAUGUAGACUUACUGAUAAAAGCUUAAGCAUAUUUAGAAAUUCAAAAACAAAAGUGCUUACCUUCCUCAAUGAUUUCACCAGGUUCUUCUUUUUUAUCAUGGU
RNAcentral lists this long non-coding RNA (13336 nucleotides) under Phaseolus vulgaris (common bean). RNAcentral describes it as "long non-coding RNA (PVUL_LNC003733)". Lineage: Eukaryota; Viridiplantae; Streptophyta; Magnoliopsida; Fabales; Fabaceae. The record is from RNAcentral.